Molecule: long non-coding RNA, 862 nt
Organism: Rosa chinensis
Lineage: Eukaryota; Viridiplantae; Streptophyta; Magnoliopsida; Rosales; Rosaceae
Exons: 2
Source: RefSeq, a predicted model, not a curated record
GGAAGAGCUCGGCCUCUUCCCCACCUAUAAAAGGUAGCGGAAGCUCUGAGAACACUGCAAAUAACGGUCCGCCCAUCGGACCAGCGUUAACAAAGACUUGGGCCACCGCUCAAUCUUAAACAUUAACACUAUGUACUAGGUAUAGAAAUCAAAAGAGACAGGGCACAUAGACUACUGAAAAGAUUUGGUAAGGAAAAGUGUACAGCUGGAGAAGUUCUCAUGUCUAAAGGUGAUAAACUAACCAAGAAGCAGAGCCCUAAGAAUAAUGUUGAAAAAGAAAACAUGGAGUCAAGCCUUAUGCAAGACAUAUUGGAAGUCUUAUGCAUGCACAAGUCUGCACUAGGCUAGACUUGUCUUUUGCUGUUGGAAUAUUGUCAAGGUUCCAAUCUAAUCUAGGCCACGAACAUUAGGUGGUUGGAAAGAAAGUGUUGAGAAACCUGUAGAGAACUAAAAAUCAUAUGCUUGUGUACAGACAAGUAAAAGAUCUAAAACUUGUUGGGUUUUCAAAUUCUGAUUUUAUAGGCAAUUAUGCAAACUCCAAGAAAUCUACUUGUGGCUAUGUGUUCAUGCUUGCGGGAGGUGCAGUUGCUUGGAAACCUAUGAAGCAAACUCUGGUUACAACCUCCAUCAUGCAAGUUAAAUUUAUUGCAGUAUAUGAAAGUGUGUGUGAAGGGCUUUGGAUCAAAAAAUUUCUGAUGCAGACUACGAUAUUGAGCCAUAUUGUGGCUGACACACUUGUGAUUUAUUGUGAUAUUGAGGCUGCUAUUUUCUUCAGUAAAAGCAGCAAAUGAUCAAAUAAUUCUAAGCAUAUUAAUCUAAAGUACUUCAACAUUAGAGAAAGAGUGAAACUUUUGAGCAUUGA